This 254-nucleotide ribosomal RNA is filed under the name uncultured bacterium. Its description in RNAcentral is "partial 16S ribosomal RNA". It matches the Rfam family "Bacterial small subunit ribosomal RNA", at positions 524 to 776 of the family's 1533-position model. The record is from RNAcentral.
UACGAACCGUGCGAACGUUAUUCGGAAUCACUGGGCUUAAAGCGCGUGUAGGCGGGCCGGCACGUCGGACGUUGAAAUCCCCCGGCUCAACCGGGGAAGGGGCGCCGAUACGACCGGCCUGGAGGAACGUAGGGGGAGCUGGAACUUCCGGUGGAGCGGUGAAAUGCGUUGAGAUCGGAAGGAACGCCCGUGGCGAAAGCGAGCUCCUGGACGUUUUCUGACGCUGAGACGCGAAAGCCAGGGGAGCGAACGGG